This 464-nucleotide ribosomal RNA is filed under the name uncultured Sorangium sp. Its description in RNAcentral is "bacterial SSU rRNA". It matches the Rfam family "Bacterial small subunit ribosomal RNA", at positions 338 to 795 of the family's 1533-position model. Lineage: Bacteria; Pseudomonadati; Myxococcota; Polyangiales; Polyangiaceae. The record is from RNAcentral.
CCUACGGGGGGCUGCAGUGGGGAAUCUUGCGCAAUGGGCGAAAGCCUGACGCAGCGACGCCGCGUGAGUGAUGAAGGCCUUCGGGUUGUAAAGCUCUGUGGGGAGAGAAGAAUAAGUCGUAGUGAAUAUCUACGAUGAUGACGGUAUCUCCUUAGCAAGCACCGGCUAACUCUGUGCCAGCAGCCGCGGUAAGACAGAGGGUGCAAACGUUGUUCGGAAUUACUGGGCGUAAAGCGUGUGUAGGCGGUGAGGUAAGUCAGGUGUGAAAUCCCACGGCUCAACCAUGGAAGUGCACUUGAUACUGCUUCGCUUGAGUACUGGAGAGGUUGGUGGAAUUCUUGGUGUAGAGGUGAAAUUCGUAGAUAUCAAGAGGAACACCGGUGGCGAAGGCGGCCAACUGGACAGAUACUGACGCUGAGACACGAAAGCGCGGGGAGCAAACAGGAUUAGAUACCCGGGUAGUC